Molecule: ribosomal RNA, 1311 nt
Filed under: Citrobacter sp. CK195
Lineage: Bacteria; Pseudomonadati; Pseudomonadota; Gammaproteobacteria; Enterobacterales; Enterobacteriaceae
Description: partial 23S ribosomal RNA
Rfam family: Bacterial large subunit ribosomal RNA
Source: RNAcentral
AAAUCGUACCCCAAACCGACACAGGUGGUCAGGUAGAGAAUACCAAGGCGCUUGAGAGAACUCGGGUGAAGGAACUAGGCAAAAUGGUGCCGUAACUUCGGGAGAAGGCACGCUGAUAUGUAGGUGAAGUGGUUUACCCAUGGAGCUGAAAUCAGUCGAAGAUACCAGCUGGCUGCAACUGUUUAUUAAAAACACAGCACUGUGCAAACACGAAAGUGGACGUAUACGGUGUGACGCCUGCCCGGUGCCGGAAGGUUAAUUGAUGGGGUUAUCCCUCGGGAGAAGCUCUUGAUCGAAGCCCCGGUAAACGGCGGCCGUAACUAUAACGGUCCUAAGGUAGCGAAAUUCCUUGUCGGGUAAGUUCCGACCUGCACGAAUGGCGUAAUGAUGGCCAGGCUGUCUCCACCCGAGACUCAGUGAAAUUGAACUCGCUGUGAAGAUGCAGUGUACCCGCGGCAAGACGGAAAGACCCCGUGAACCUUUACUAUAGCUUGACACUGAACACUGGUCCUUGAUGUGUAGGAUAGGUGGGAGGCUUUGAAGUGUGGACGCCAGUCUGCAUGGAGCCGCCCUUGAAAUACCACCCUUUAAUGGCUGGUGUUCUAACGUGGGCCCGUAAUCCGGGUUGCGGACAGUGUCUGGUGGGUAGUUUGACUGGGGCGGUCUCCUCCUAAAGAGUAACGGAGGAGCACGAAGGUCAGCUAAUCCUGGUCGGACAUCAGGAGGUUAGUGCAAUGGCAUAAGCUGGCUUGACUGCGAGCGUGACGGCGCGAGCAGGUGCGAAAGCAGGUCAUAGUGAUCCGGUGGUUCUGAAUGGAAGGGCCAUCGCUCAACGGAUAAAAGGUACUCCGGGGAUAACAGGCUGAUACCGCCCAAGAGUUCAUAUCGACGGCGGUGUUUGGCACCUCGAUGUCGGCUCAUCACAUCCUGGGGCUGAAGUAGGUCCCAAGGGUAUGGCUGUUCGCCAUUUAAAGUGGUACGCGAGCUGGGUUUAGAACGUCGUGAGACAGUUCGGUCCCUAUCUGCCGUGGGCGCUGGAGAACUGAGGGGGGCUGCUCCUAGUACGAGAGGACCGGAGUGGACGCAUCACUGGUGUUCGGGUUGUCAUGCCAAUGGCACUGCCCGGUAGCUAAAUGCGGAAGAGAUAAGUGCUGAAAGCAUCUAAGCACGAAACUUGCCCCGAGAUGAGUUCUCCCUGACUCCUUGAGAGUCCUGAAGGAACGUUGAAGACGACGACGUUGAUAGGCCGGGUGUGUAAGCGCAGCGAUGCGUUGAGCUAACCGGUACUAAUGAACCGUGAGGCUUAACCUU